GUGCUCAAUUCGGCAGCACGUAUACUAAAAUUGGAAUACUUCAGAGAAGAUUAGCAUGGUCCCUGCACAAGGAUGACACAGAAAUUUGUAAAGCAUUCCACAUUUUU
Loxodonta africana (African savanna elephant) is the source of this 107-nucleotide small nuclear RNA. Lineage: Eukaryota; Metazoa; Chordata; Mammalia; Proboscidea; Elephantidae. The record is from Ensembl.